GCCGCUAUUGAAAAGAGAGGGUGAGAGCCCCCGCUGGGUUCGAGCUGAGCGCUUUGUAAAAAGCGCGAAACAACGACGCUUUAGCGUCGGCCCGAAGGGAAGGUGCUUGCACCGUAUCAUCCCUCUCUCUCCGCCA
RNAcentral lists this small RNA (136 nucleotides) under Echinimonas agarilytica. RNAcentral describes it as "RtT sRNA". It matches the Rfam family "RtT RNA". From Rfam's summary of the family: This family represents a bacterial cis-regulatory element known as RtT RNA. The exact function of RtT is unknown although it is thought that it may be involved in changing the cellular response in relation to amino acid starvation. The record is from RNAcentral. Lineage: Bacteria; Pseudomonadati; Pseudomonadota; Gammaproteobacteria; Alteromonadales; Echinimonadaceae.